Molecule: long non-coding RNA, 613 nt
Organism: Oncorhynchus tshawytscha (Chinook salmon)
Lineage: Eukaryota; Metazoa; Chordata; Actinopteri; Salmoniformes; Salmonidae
Source: Ensembl
CACACAGUGACAGGAAACACUUCCUCAUACAAAAAGCUGACAGUCUGACACAAAUAUGCAGAUGGUAUAUAUAGUAUAGCAUGGUGGAUCUAUUGAAAAAACAAACCAAGACUACAGCAAAAACUAGACCAAAAGGAACUGAAAACCCUUAAACACAAACCACAGAAGAAGAGUUACAUAUCCAAAUAUCAGAGGAGGGGCCUCAUAGUUAAACACUGGUAUAGGCUGGAUAUACCUGCAGCCAUGAGGAUGUCUCUGUAGAGGAUUUACUCAGCUCUCUCCCUGUCUUAUCUCUCAGUUGGAUUAUCUAGUCUGUGUCAGGAUGUCACUCAUAUUACUGUUGCUCCUCUCAGCGUUUGUAGGUGAUAGUAUGGAGCAGGAAACAAUAACUCCAGUGAAGCCUGAAGUCAAUGCUCUCCAAGGAACAGACAUCACUCUCUCCUGCAACUACAAGGGCAACAUUAUCAAUCUACAAUGGUACCGUCAUUACCCCGGAUCCAGACCAGAAUGUCUUCUUUGGAUCCUACAAACCAACAAAGUGCAGAUGUGAUGAGGCUGUUGACCAGCAGAGUGGAUAUGUUACUGCCCUUAUCGGAGGACUAGUAACACCCAG